RNAcentral lists this ribosomal RNA (320 nucleotides) under uncultured bacterium. Its description in RNAcentral is "bacterial SSU rRNA". It matches the Rfam family "Bacterial small subunit ribosomal RNA", at positions 30 to 334 of the family's 1533-position model. The record is from RNAcentral.
AUUGAACGCUAGCGGCAUGCUUAACACAUGCAAGUCGAACGGCAGCAUGCGAAACAAUCCUUCGGGGGCGUUUUGUGAUGGCGAGUGGCGGACGGGUGAGUAACGCGUAGGAAUUUACCUUAUAGUGGGGGAUAACCCGGGGAAACUCGGACUAAUACCGCAUAGUCUCUACGGAGUAAAGCGGGGGAUCUUUUGACCUCGUGCUAUAAGAUGAGCCUGCGUCGGAUUAGCUUGUUGGUGGGGUAAUGGCCUACCAAGGCGACGAUCCGUAGCUGGUCUGAGAGGACGAUCAGCCACACUGGGACUGAGACACGGCCCAG